This is an RNA transcript of Ailuropoda melanoleuca (giant panda), 2387 nucleotides long. It is a transcript of the gene named actin related protein 5, with no coding region annotated. The record is from RefSeq and is a predicted model, not a curated record. Lineage: Eukaryota; Metazoa; Chordata; Mammalia; Carnivora; Ursidae. The transcript has 10 exons.
CGAGAGGCGGGCACAGCGUGCGCGCUCCAAGAUGGCGGUGGCCGGUGCUGCCGGGCUGGUGGCGAACGUCUUCCCAUUUCGCGAUGCCCGCGCCGCGCCAGACCCAGUGCUAGAGGCCGGCCCGGUGGCACACGGGCCACUGCCGGUGCCACUCGUGCUGGACAACGGGUCGUUCCAGGCCCGCGCCGGCUGGGCAUGCUCCGGGCCGGAUCCGGGCCCCGAGCCGCGCCUGCAGUUCCGCGCUGUGUGCGCCCGCGGGCGUGGCGGGGCUCGGGGCGGGGCUGGCCCGCAGGUGGGCAACGCGCUGGGCAGCCUGGAGCCGUUGCGCUGGAUGCUGCGCUCACCCUUCGACCGCAACGUACCGGUCAACUUGGAGCUGCAGGAGCUGCUGCUGGACUACAGCUUCCAGCACCUGGGUGUCUCCUCACAGGGCUGUGUCGAUCAUCCUGUAGUUUUGACAGAAGCUGUGUGCAACCCACUGUAUUCUCGACAGAUGAUGUCUGAGCUGCUCUUUGAGUGCUAUGGGAUUCCUAAGGUUGCCUAUGGAGUAGACAGCCUCUUCAGCUUCUACCACAAUAAGCCAAAGAACUUGACUUCCAGUGGGCUCAUCAUUUCCUCUGGGUACCAAUGUACACAUAUCUUACCCAUCUUAGAAGGGAGGUUAGAUGCUAAAAACUGCAAACGCAUCAAUCUGGGAGGAAGCCAAGCAGCUGGCUACCUCCAGCGCCUCCUGCAGCUGAAGUAUCCCGGGCACCUGGCAGCCAUCACUCUCAGCCGCAUGGAGGAGAUCCUGCACGAGCACAGCUAUGUUGCUGAAGAUUACGUGGAAGAACUGCAGAAAUGGCGGUGCCCUGAUUAUUACGAAAACAACGUCCACAAGAUGCAGCUCCCGUUUUCCAGCAAGCUCCUCGGCAGCACUCUGAGCUCGGAGGAGAGGCAGGAAAGGCGGCAGCAGCAGCUGCGGCGCCUGCAGGAGCUCAACGCCCGCCGGCGGGAGGAGAAGCUGCAGCUGGACCAGGAGCGGCUAGACAGACUGCUCUACGUGCAGGAACUUCUAGAGGAUGGCCAGAUGGAUCAGUUUCACAAAGCUCUGGUGGAGCUGAACAUGGACUCCCCGGAAGAGCUGCAGUCCUACAUCCAGAAGCUCAGCUCGGCCGUGGAGCAGGCGAAGCAGAAAAUCCUCCAAGCAGAAGUCACCCUCGAGGUGGAUGUGGUGGACAGCAAGCCAGAGACCCCGGACCUGGAGCAGCUAGAGCCUUCUCUGGAAGAUGUGGAAAGCAUCAAUGAUUUUGAGCCCUUGUUUUCAGAGGACACCCCUGAAGUGGAGAAGCCAGUCACCACUGUCCAGCCCGUGUUUAACUUGGCAGCCUAUCAUCAGCUGUUCGUUGGGACAGAAAGAAUUCGAGCUCCAGAAAUCAUCUUCCAGCCGUCCCUCAUAGGGGAAGAGCAGGCUGGGAUAGCAGAGACCCUUCAGUACAUCCUGGACAGGUACUCAAAGGACGUUCAGGACGUGCUGGUUCAGAACGUUUUCCUCACCGGUGGAAACAUGAUGUACCCUGGAAUGAAAGGUAGAAUUGAGAAGGAGCUAUUGGAGAUGAGGCCCUUCCAGUCUGCUUUUAAGGUUCAGCUGGCUUCCAACCCCGUGCUGGACGCCUGGUAUGGCGCUCGGGACUGGGCCUUGGACCACCUGGACGACGAUGAAGUCUGGAUCACCAGGAAAGAGUAUGAAGAGAAGGGAGGAGAGUACCUCAAGGAGCACUGUGCAUCCAACAUCUACGUCCCCAUCCGCCUGCCCAAGCAGGCCUCACGCUUCUCGGACACACAGGCCUCCGGCAAAGGCUCGGGGGCCAGUGGAGGCAGUGCUGGCGAGCAGGCGUAGUGCGUGCCGUCUGAGACCUGGGGCCGUGGUGGCCAGUGGGAUGGACGAUGGCCGUGCUAGCUGGGUCCAUCCUGAGCCUGCUGGCAGCACUGGGCUGCGAGGUGGAUUUCUCCUGGGGAGAACAGUUAAGGGACACUGGAAAUUGCCUUUCUGACCUGCAAUCACUUGGGGGCUCAUGCAGGGAAGAGACUUUAAGUGACUUUCUCGUGUCCGCUGAACCGAGGAUGAGUGGAGGCGUCACCUUCCCGCAGCAGUAAGUGAAGACGGAAUGGAGGACAGGGAUGUACACAAUGUAAAAAGUUUAUUUCUUCAUUUAAAAAAUUAUUUUAAAAAAUCCUGCAAAAUUUAUAUUGUCACUGUAGAUAUUUUUCUGACUUUGUUCAGAAAUUGUGUGAAUGCCCAGCAGAUGGAGGCCUUUCACAUGUGUAUAAAAAAAAGAUAAAGUUGGGGCGCCUGGGUGGCACAGUGGUUGAGCUUCUGCCUUCGGCUCAGGGCGUGAUCCCGGCGU